This 408-nucleotide ribosomal RNA is filed under the name Triticum aestivum (bread wheat). RNAcentral's name for it is "partial small subunit ribosomal RNA". Lineage: Eukaryota; Viridiplantae; Streptophyta; Magnoliopsida; Poales; Poaceae. The record is from RNAcentral.
GGAACCUAUAGUGCAAUAUGCAGGGACCAUGAUGGCAAAUACUUGGGCUCAUCAGCCAUCAAAGUCCCGGGUAUCACGGACCCGGGGACUCUCGAGGCGUUAGCUUGUCGCGAGGCGCUUGCUCUAGCCCUGGAUCUUGGGCUGCCAAAUGUACUUGUUGCUUCAGAUUGCAAAGUUGUGGUGAACGACAUCAAGCUAGGCACGGGAGGUAUGUAUGAAAGCAUAGUGAAGGAAAUAAGAAAUACGUCCGAACAAUUUCAGCAAUGCACCUUCAUCAUCGAAGGUCACGGUACUAAUCUUGAGGCGCAUAGCCUUGCUAAGCACACCUUUGGUCUGGACUUAGGGCGUCAUUUGUGGCUUAUAAACCCUCCAGACUUGAAUUGUAUCCCUAUGAACAUUUUAGAGUAA